This 465-nucleotide ribosomal RNA is filed under the name uncultured bacterium. RNAcentral's name for it is "bacterial SSU rRNA". It matches the Rfam family "Bacterial small subunit ribosomal RNA", at positions 917 to 1382 of the family's 1533-position model. The record is from RNAcentral.
GGGCCCGCACAAGCAGCGGAGCAUGUUGCUUAAUUCGAGGCAACGCGAAGAACCUUACCUGUGGCUUGACAUGGUGGGAAAAGCCGUGGAGACACGGUGUCCUUCGGGGCCCAUCACAGGUGGUGCAUGGCUGUCGUCAGCUCGUGUCGUGAGAUGUUGGGUUAAGUCCCGCAACGAGCGCAACCCUUGUCCUAUGUUGCCAGCGGGUAAUGCCGGGGACUCGUAGGAGACUGCCGGGGUCAACUCGGAGGAAGGUGGGGACGACGUCAAGUCAUCAUGCCCCUUACGUCCAGGGCUGCAAACAUGCUACAAUGGCCGGUACAAAGGGCCGCGAGCCCGCGAGGGUAAGCCAAUCCCAUAAAGCCGGUCUCAGUUCGGAUUGGAGUCUGCAACUCGACUCCAUGAAGCCGGAGUUGCUAGUAAUCCCGGAUCAGCAUUGCCGGGGUGAAUACGUUCCCGGGCCUU